This is an RNA transcript of Capsicum annuum, 2251 nucleotides long. It is a transcript of the gene named proteinaceous RNase P 2, with no coding region annotated. The record is from RefSeq and is a predicted model, not a curated record. NCBI's taxonomy places the organism in Eukaryota, Viridiplantae, Streptophyta, Magnoliopsida, Solanales, Solanaceae. The transcript has 8 exons.
UUAAAAAGCAAUUAAAAUUGAUACCCUUAAACCCUCGCAUCAUUCCAAAACCCCAAACCCAAGUCUACUAUUUCCCCCGCCGUUCGCCACCGUGUACAGCCGGAAAAAUGGAAAAACCCAAAAAGAAGAAGAAAACCCUAACCCCAGAAAUCCAAUUCCGUUUAACCCUAGACAAUUGCUCGAAAACCAAAGACCUUUCAACCGCAAUCUCCUUAUACGAAUCAUCUCUUUCAACAAUCCGUUUUACCAAUAACCAUUUCAACUCAUUUCUCUACAUUUGCUCCAACGCCGUUUCGAACCCGUUAACUAAAACCGCUGCAAUUGAAUUUGGGUUUCGAGUAUUUGAACAAAUGGGUUUAUGUAAUGUGAGUCCUAAUGAAGCUACUGUUACGGCGGUUGCUAGGUUGGCGGCGGCGAGUGGUGAUGGUGAUAAAGCGUUUGAGUUAGCUAAAGGAGUGGGGAAGAAUGGGAAGUUGAGGACUUAUGGUCCGGGUUUGUUUUGUUUUUGUGAAAUGGGUGAGGCUGAUAAGGCGUAUGAAGUGGAGGAGCAUAUGAGGUUUAUUGGGUUGCAGCUUGAGGAAGCUGAGCUUAUUGGGUUGUUAAAGGUGAGUGUGGAGAAAGAUAAGGAAGAGAAGGUUUAUCAGUAUUUACAUAAACUGAGAACGUCAAUCAGGAGCAUAAGUGAGUCGGCAGCAGAAAUCAUACAGAGUUGGUUUGGAGGGGAAAUGGCAACUAAGGUGGGGUUACCCAAUUGGGAUAUGGAUCAGGUGAAAGAAGCAAUUUUACAAAAUGGGGGGGGAUGGCAUGGUCUUGGAUGGCUUGGGAAGGGUAAAUGGCUUGCACAGAGGUCCCAAAUAGCUCCAGAUGGGAGGUGUCUAACUUGUGGGGAACAGUUGGUUUGUGUUGAUAUUGACAGAGCAGAGACAGAAAGAUUUGCGGAGUCAGUUGCUUCUUUGGCUAUGGAAAGGGAAGUCCAUUCCAAUUUCAAAGAAUUUCAGGACUGGUUGGAAAAGCAUUCAGAUUAUGAUGCUGUAGUGGACGCAGCAAAUGUUGGGCUCUAUCAGCAGAACUUUGCUGAGGGUGGAUUUAGUAUUCCACAGCUUGUUACUGCUGUGAAAGAAUUGCAUAGCAGGAGCAACAAGUGGCCACUGGUUAUAUUACACAAUAAGCGUGUUCAUGCACUUCUUGAGAAUGCUGGCUAUAGAGAGUUGCUUGAAGAGUGGAUAAAUGAAAAGAUACUUUACGGAACACCUUUUGGAUCCAAUGAUGACUGGUAUUGGCUUUAUGCAGCAGUGAAACAUAAGUGUUUGCUCGUGACAAAUGAUGAAAUGAGAGAUCACAUCUUUGAGCUCCUGGGUAGCAGCUUUUUCGCCAGAUGGAAAGAAAGACAUCAGGUCAAGUACACUUUUGUUAAAGGGGAGAUUAAACUUUUGAUGCCACCCACAUAUUCUGUUGUCAUUCAGGAAUCCGGGAAAGGGUCGUGGCAUGUGCCUCUGGCGGGUGAGGUCGUUGAGGAGUCUUCAAGGACUUGGCUCUGCAUCACCAGACAAGCUUCAUGUGAAUCCGACAAUAAACUACAUGCAAGCGUAGUAGAAGCUUCUCGAGUUAGUGAACUCGAUCAAAUUGCAGCCCCUUGCCAUUCAGAUAGUUUUACAAAUCAGAAUGGCGGCUUAAAUGGAUGUUCCGGUUUGGCUGGUAAGAGGAAAGAGAGGUCCCCAUCUCCAUCUCCAUCUGACACCAGUCUACAAUCUUGAAAAUUUGAAGGUGAUACCUUUUCAGAACCUUGCCCAACUGCAUGCAUUACCAGUGUACGCUGUUGUAAUUGAGAAAGAGCAUACAUGUUUGUUGUGGGAACAAGUGAAGGUGAACAAACCUUUAAAGGAAGCAAGUAACGAAGAGCCAUGUAUCUGCGAAAGCUAUCCAUGCUGCUCAGGACAUUAACUUUGCCAACAAUGACUGGUUUCCCUUGCUUGUCGAUAUAUGGAUGAUUGCUGAAGUGAUGGAAUGCAUACUCCUGAAGCCAUGUAAACUCUAUUGGAUGUGACACUGACGUUCCAACAUGGUAUAUCAUUUGACUCCCUCUUUGGCCUGCCUGAGCUACCAUUGUUACUAUCAUCGCAUUCACCACCAUAUCUGCUGGAAUCUGCACAUAGUUAAAUUCUGUUAUUCGAGCAUAUUGAUAUUGAGACAUCGUUACUUGUGUAAGCAUUUACUUACUACGUCAAUAAUGGAAUCAGGGUUGCCGACGAAA